CCUACGGGUGGCAGCAGUGGGGAAUAUUGCACAAUGGGCGCAAGCCUGAUGCAGCCAUGCCGCGUGUGUGAGGAAGGCCUUCGGGUUGUAAAGCACUUUCAGCGGGGAGGAAGGCGGUGAGGUUAAUAACCUCAUCGAUUGACGUUACCCGCAGAAGAAGCACCGGCUAACUCCGUGCCCAGCAGCCGCGGUAAUACGGAGGGUGCAAGCGUUAAUCGGAAUUACUGGGCGUAAAGCGCACGCAGGCGGUCUGUCAAGUCGGAUGUGAAAUCCCCGGGCUCAACCUGGGAACUGCAUUCGAAACUGGCAGGCUAGAGUCUUGUAGAGGGGGGUAGAAUUCCAGGUGUAGCGGUGAAAUGCGUAGAGAUCUGGAGGAAUACCGGUGGCGAAGGCGGCCCCCUGGACAAAGACUGACGCUCAGGUGCGAAAGCGUGGGGAGCAAACAGGAUUAGAUACCCGUGUAGUC
RNAcentral lists this ribosomal RNA (466 nucleotides) under uncultured Klebsiella sp. RNAcentral's name for it is "bacterial SSU rRNA". It matches the Rfam family "Bacterial small subunit ribosomal RNA", at positions 338 to 795 of the family's 1533-position model. Lineage: Bacteria; Pseudomonadati; Pseudomonadota; Gammaproteobacteria; Enterobacterales; Enterobacteriaceae. The record is from RNAcentral.